Molecule: ribosomal RNA, 497 nt
Filed under: uncultured bacterium
Lineage: Bacteria
Description: partial 16S ribosomal RNA
Rfam family: Bacterial small subunit ribosomal RNA
Source: RNAcentral
GAUGAACGCUGGCGGCGUGCCUAAUACAUGCAAGUCGAGCGAACGGACGAGAAGCUUGCUUCUCUGAUGUUAGCGGCGGACGGGUGAGUAACACGUGGAUAACCUACCUAUAAGACUGGGAUAACUUCGGGAAACCGGAGCUAAUACCGGAUAAUAUUUUGAACGGCAUGGUUCAAAAGUGAAAGACGGUCUUGCUGUCACUUUUAGAUGGAUCCGCGCUGCAUUAGCUAGUUGGUAAGGUAACGGCUUACCAAGGCAACGAUGCAUAGCCGACCUGAGAGGGUGAUCGGCCACACUGGAACUGAGACACGGUCCAGACUCCUACGGGAGGCAGCAGUAGGGAAUCUUCCGCAAUGGGCGAAAGCCUGACGGAGCAACGCCGCGUGAGUGAUGAAGGUCUUCGGAUCGUAAAACUCUGUUAUUAGGGAAGAACAUAUGUGUAAGUAACUGUGCACAUCUUGACGGUACCUAAUCAGAAAGCCACGGCUAACUACGUG